Molecule: long non-coding RNA, 562 nt
Organism: Panicum virgatum (switchgrass)
Lineage: Eukaryota; Viridiplantae; Streptophyta; Magnoliopsida; Poales; Poaceae
Exons: 2
Source: RefSeq, a predicted model, not a curated record
ACAAUCCUGUCUCUCUCUCUCUCUCUCUCUCUCUCUCAGUUCCGAUGGACUACUCAAGUGGCGCGUCGGCGUCGGGGAGGGCGCGGGCGCGGUGGUGCUACUGCCGCUGCUUCCGCCGGUGGUGCCGCUGCUGCUACUGCUGCAACUGCUUCCCCGACGAGCCGCCGCCUACGCCUAGGGUCCCGGGCUCUCAGGGAGAUGCUCAUAUAGGCAUAUGAGCACCGUGAGGAAAUCGAGUACUGUCGUCAUGUACACUAGGAAAAUGGCUACCUUAUUCUUGAAGUAGAUGUUGAAGAAGCUCCUUUUCAGAUGGUUGCUGGACAAUAAAUUUGACUGUACACUAGGCAAAUAGUUACUUGUGAUGAGGCUGUUUAAAGUAUUGCGCUCAUAAUGCUACCUUACCUAGAUGGGAAACAACGUAGCACUUGUAAUACUAAUCUGUGUGACAUGGUUUGCUAAACCAAAGUGCAUACUUGUAAAAUCUAACUGGCACUUUCUGCAUACACUCGGAUGUACAUAAACAAGAUAUUAUAAUCUGUUUCUCGCCAAAGAUACUUGUGUA